AUCUUGUCGAUUUUCUUUUGGGAAAGAUUAUUAUUUGGACGCUUGAAAAAGUAAACGUUUGUCUGUCGAAGACAAUCACGUGGUUUAAGGUUAUGUGCUUUCCCUAUCAACAGUGCCGAGUACGGCGCCAGUGAAAGGCAGGCGGUUUACCGAUUAUGCACAAGUUGAAGAAAGGAGCUGCUGUGGAAUGGUGAAAAAAUUCCAGGAGCAACAAAGAGUCUUGAUUUUUAUAGGGGUGCAGAUUUUAAAGAAAGAAAACUGUGUUGUAAAGAAAGAAGAAGAUUUUCCAUCAAAUAAUGGUGGAUGACAAAGUUCUUCCUAUGAAUGAUGUCAUAACCCACUUUGAAAUAAAAAUUGUUGGAGAGAAAAGGAUCUGAAGAGGGAGAAAGAAUUGAUUAUAUUGAGAUGGAUUUAUAGACUGUUAGGCCUUUUGCUAUCACUUAAUUCUGUACUAUUAGUUCUGCAACACUAAGCCUAUAAACUUUUGAUGUAAUGGUUUAUCUUAUUUGAGAGAGCAUAGUCCAGUUUUUAGGCAUUUGAAGAUUAAUAAUGCAGAGUAUGUACAAAUGUAAUGGCAGGUAAAAAUCCCCACAAACAGGACACUGAAAAGACUGGAAUUUAGAGAUAUUUCAUUUCUCUCUUGUGUGAAUUAAAAAAAAUUAAUG
Molecule: long non-coding RNA, 665 nt
Organism: Saccostrea cuccullata (small rock oyster)
Lineage: Eukaryota; Metazoa; Mollusca; Bivalvia; Ostreida; Ostreidae
Exons: 4
Source: RefSeq, a predicted model, not a curated record